This 399-nucleotide ribosomal RNA is filed under the name uncultured Glomeromycotina. Its description in RNAcentral is "SSU rRNA". It matches the Rfam family "Eukaryotic small subunit ribosomal RNA", at positions 569 to 972 of the family's 1831-position model. The record is from RNAcentral. Lineage: Eukaryota; Fungi; Glomeromycota.
AGCAGCCGCGGUAAUUCCAGCUCCAAUAGCGUAUAUUAAAGUUGUUGCAGUUAAAAAGCUCGUAGUUGAAUUUCGGGGUUAGUAGGUUGGUCAUGCCUCUGGUAUGUACUGGUCUCACUGAUUCCUCCUUCCUGAUGAGCCGUAAUGCCAUUAAUUUGGUGUUGCGGGGAAUUUGGACUGUUACUUUGAAAAAAUUAGAGUGUUUAAAGCAAGCUAACGCUUGAAUACAUUAGCAUGGAAUAAUGAAAUAGGACGUUCGAUCCUAUUUUGUUGGUUUCUAGGAUUGACGUAAUGAUUAAUAGGGAUAGUUGGGGGCAUUAGUAUUCAAUUGUCAGAGGUGAAAUUCUUGGAUUUAUUGAAGACUAACUACUGCGAAAGCAUUUGCCAAGGAUGUUUUCA